GCCGGUGUGUGCCUGUAGUCCCAGCUACUCAGGAGGCUAAGGUUGGAGGAUCACUUGAAUCCAGGAGUUCUGGACUGUAGUGCACUAAGCUGAUUGGGUUUCUGCACUAACUUUGGCAUCAAUAUGGUGACCUCCUGGGAGCAGGGGACCACCAGGUUGCCUAAGGAGGGGUGAACCAGCCCAGGUCAGAAAUGGAGCAGUUCAAAACUCCCGUGCUGACCAGUAGUGGGACUGCGCCUGUGACUGGCCACUGCACUCCAGCCUGGGCAACAGAGUGAGACCCCACCUCUU
This is an unclassified non-coding RNA of Callithrix jacchus (white-tufted-ear marmoset), 291 nucleotides long. It matches the Rfam family "Metazoan signal recognition particle RNA". Rfam says of the family: The signal recognition particle (SRP) is a universally conserved ribonucleoprotein. The record is from Ensembl. NCBI's taxonomy places the organism in Eukaryota, Metazoa, Chordata, Mammalia, Primates, Cebidae.